RNAcentral lists this ribosomal RNA (372 nucleotides) under uncultured organism. Its description in RNAcentral is "partial 16S ribosomal RNA". It matches the Rfam family "Bacterial small subunit ribosomal RNA", at positions 527 to 896 of the family's 1533-position model. The record is from RNAcentral.
GUAGGUGGCAAGCGUUGUCCGGAAUUAUUGGGCGUAAAGCGCGCGCAGGUGGUUCUUUAAGUCUGAUGUGAAAGCCCCCGGCUCAACCGGGGAGGGUCAUUGGAAACUGGGGAACUUGAGUGCAGGAGAGGAAAGUGGAAUUCCACGUGUAGCGGUGAAAUGCGUAGAUAUGUGGAGGAACACCAGUGGCGAAGGCGACUUUCUGGCCUGUAACUGACACUGAGGCGCGAAAGCGUGGGGAGCAAACAGGGAUUAGAUACCCUGGUAGUCCACGCCGUAAACGAUGAGUGCUAAGUGUUGGGGGGUUUCCCGCCCCUCAGUGCUGCAGCUAACGCAUUAAGCACUCCGCCUGGGGAGUACGGUCGCAGACUG